RNAcentral lists this unclassified non-coding RNA (276 nucleotides) under Glomeraceae sp. Its description in RNAcentral is "partial contains 5.8S ribosomal RNA and internal transcribed spacer 2". The stretch from base 1 to 72 matches the Rfam family "5.8S ribosomal RNA", at positions 84 to 154 of the family's 154-position model. Lineage: Eukaryota; Fungi; Glomeromycota; Glomeromycetes; Glomerales; Glomeraceae. The record is from RNAcentral.
GUGAAUCAUCAAAUUUUUGAACGCAAAUUGCACUCUCCGGUUUUCCGGGAGAGUAUGCCUGUUUGAGGGUCAGCCUAAAAAAAAUCGACAUUGUUGCUGUUAUUUAAUGGCGACUUUCGUCGGAGAUUGGGUUAUCUUAAACUUUUUUUUUUUUUUUUUUUGUUUUAAGCGACUUAAAAUUUUUCUUCACGAUUCCUUUAACGUUUCUAAGUUUUUUAUUUCUUAUACGUUUAAGGUUUAUCGAUCUUUUAUUAGACGUUACCUUCGCUUCGGAUC